RNAcentral lists this ribosomal RNA (1555 nucleotides) under Aquificota bacterium. Its description in RNAcentral is "bacterial SSU rRNA". It matches the Rfam family "Archaeal small subunit ribosomal RNA". The record is from RNAcentral. Lineage: Bacteria; Pseudomonadati; Aquificota.
AAUUCCUGUUUAUCCUGCAGGAGGUUGCUGCUAUCAGAAUCCAGCUUAGGCAUGCAAGUCUUUGUCGUAAGGCAAGGCAAACUGCUCAGCAACACGUCGAUAACUUGCCAUAUGGUCUGGAAUAACCUCGGGAAACUGAGACUAAUACCGGAUAAAGAACAAAGUGUGGAAUCCUUUUGUUCUGCAAAGCCUCGGCGCCAUAUGAUAGGUCGGCGGCCCAUCAGGCUGUUGGUGAGGUAAUGGCUCACCAAACCUAAGACGGGUCAGGGCCGUGAGAGCGGUUGCCCUGAGAAGGACACUGAGAUACUGGUCCUAGCCCUAAGGGGUGCAGCAGCUAUGAAAACUUCACAAUGCACGAAAGUGUGAUGAGGGGAUUCUGAGUGCUCAGGUAACACUGGGCUUUUCACGAAGGUAAAAACUUCGUGGAAUAAGUGGUGGGCAAGACUGGUGCCAGCCGCCGCGGUAACCCCAGCGCCACAAGUGGGAACCACGUUUAUUGGGUCUAAAGCAUCCGUAGCCGGUUAAGCAAAUAUUCUGUGAAAUCGUUGUGCUCAACGCAACGGCGUGCAGAAUACACUACUUAACUAGGGACCAGGCGAAGUAGACGGUAUUCCAGAGGGAGCGGUAAAAUGUGAUAAUCUCUGGAGGACCACCGAUGGCGAAGGCAGUCUACCAGAAUGGAUCCGACGGUGAGGGAUGAAAGCUAGGGGAGCGAUCCGGAUUAGAUAUCGAGACUCCUGUACUAAAAAGUCUUGUUUGAUCGCAAUCUACUAAACAAGAUUUGAGAUAUCAGGAGUAAAAACUCGACUAAAUACCCGAGUAGUCCUAGCUGUAAACGCUGCGUGCCAGAUGUUGCGUAAUCUUCGAGAUUGCGCAGUGUCGAAACGAAGGUGUUAAGCACGCCACCUGGGAAUUACGGUCGCAAGGCUGAAACUUAAAGGAAUUGGCGGGGAGGCACCACAAGGGGUGCGGCGUGCGGUUUAAUUGUAUUCAACGCCGGAAACCUUACCAGGGGCGACGGCAGAAUGAAACUCAGUCUAAUGGGCUUAGUUGACGAGCCGAGAGGUGGUGCAUGGCCACCGUCAGCUCGUGCCGUGAGGUGUCCUGUUAAGUCAGGCAACGAGCGAGACCUGUAUCCAUUGUUGCUAACGCGUUCGCAAGAAUGAGCGAGCACACUAUGGAGACUGCCUUCGAAAGGAGGAGGAAGGUGCAGGCUACGGUAGGUCAGUAUGCCCCGAAUCUCCUGGGCUACACGCGCGCAACAAUGGUCAUGACAAUGGGAUGCGACUCUGAAAAGAGAAGCCAAUCCUCAAAACAUGAUCCCAGUCUAGAUCGAGGAUUGCAACUCAUCCUCGUGACAACGGAAUCCCUAGUAACCAGAAGUUAGCAUCUUCCGGUGAAUAUGUCCCUGCCUCUUGCACACACCGCCCGUCAAAUCACCCGAGCAGGCUUUCGGUGAGCUGUAUUGAGUAAAUGCACCGAACCGAUGGUCAGUGAGGGGGGUUAAGUCGUCACAAGGUAUCCGUAGGGGAACCUGCGGAUGGAUCACCUCCUU